CUGAAAUAACCUUGGAAACAAUACACACGUGUACAUAUAUUCGUAAUAGCAUAACAAAUUCUAGUCUUGGAAUGCACCUAAUACUGUGUUCUCACUAUAAAACCUUACUGCCAGUCGAUGCCCUCCAUUAAGUAGUCACUUGUACAAUAAUUUAGGUCUCCUAUCAAUUUCUGUUUGCAUUCCAAUGAGUACUUUCACUUCUUUGUCUUCAAGUUCAAAUAGCUUCUAUGAAAUAGUCUACAAUUAAUCAUAAAAUAUAAGUUCUAUUAGAAUUCGAUAAAUAUUAAAGUUGAAUAUAGGAAAUUCGGUACCUCUGAUGCUCGGCUAAACUUCCCAAAGUCAUAUGUCCCAUCAGGUUCCCACAACAGUUUUCGCAGUGUCCAGAGCAUUUUUAAACAAAUCGACUGAUUCAAGUCCGAUGUCCAUUCCAGUCCAACCAUUCGAGAUUGUUGAUGCUGCCACCACCUUGUUCUUUCCAUAAUAAGUAAACUUGUCAACCACAACUACAUUUGGUAACAAGAUUUUCACUCUUUUCGAAUUAUCUUUGUCAAGAAUUGAUUUCGCUAGAUUUACAUCCUCAUCAUCAACAACAAAUGAUCCCACUGAAAGACAUUGUGCCUUAUAAAAUGCAAGUAUCAUUUCUCCAUACAAAAUCAAUAUAUUACUCUUAUCCAACACUAAUUUUAUAUGUACAUAUCCAUUGGAGAGUCGUUUAUAAUUCAGUAUAGCAACAAAUGGCCUUCAAAUAGAGGCAAUGGCCUCCUCCUAAAAUAAACAAAACAAUAAUACAUAAAUAAGGAAGCCAACAAACACGACCUGAACUAGUGCUAGAAAUUAUGUUAACUGGGGUGAAUGUUAGUACAAAAUUUGGCAAUCUAACCCUUUUCUCAUGUGAAACAGUAGUAAGCAAGAAUUUUGUGGCCUCUUCAACUGCUUUCUACGUAAUAUUGUCAAAUGCACUAUUCGUGCUCUCAUAGACGAAGUCCAUCUCUCUCUCUCUCUCUCUCUGUUCGCUUUGGUAAGCUCUUAAG
RNAcentral lists this long non-coding RNA (1031 nucleotides) under Olea europaea subsp. europaea. The record is from RNAcentral. Lineage: Eukaryota; Viridiplantae; Streptophyta; Magnoliopsida; Lamiales; Oleaceae.